AUGCGCGUAGCUCAACUGGUAGAGCGGCGGUCUCCAAAACCGCAGGUUGUAGGUUCAAGUCCUACCGCGUAUGCCA
Molecule: transfer RNA, 76 nt
Filed under: Spiribacter salinus
Lineage: Bacteria; Pseudomonadati; Pseudomonadota; Gammaproteobacteria; Chromatiales; Ectothiorhodospiraceae
Description: tRNA-Trp
Rfam family: tRNA
About the family: Transfer RNA (tRNA) molecules are approximately 80 nucleotides in length. Their secondary structure includes four short double-helical elements and three loops (D, anti-codon, and T loops).
Source: RNAcentral